AACAUUGCAAAAAAAAAAAAAAGGAUCAUAUCUGUAUUCUCAGUUACAUCUAAAUGGGGACGAAAAUAGUAUAAUGGGCAAAGUGGUGGUAAGUGCCAGGAAAAUAUGAAGUAGGACAAGGAGACACCGAGUGCUGGGGGAAGGAGGUGGGCUACCUCACAUGGGGCAUCAGGGAAAAUCAGAAGGAAACAAUGGAAAGAGCCACGAGGCUGACCAUCUGGGCAGAGUGAUGCACCACCAGCGAGGGAAAGUACUUCAACAGGAGCGUGCUCGGCGAGUUCAAGAACGGGUGAAGAGGACAGCGUGUGCUGGUGCAGAGUGGCAGGGGGAGCGUGCUGGAGGAUGGGGCACUGGAGCCACGUCACACGGGGUCUGAUCCAGCCCUUUGUCCGGAAUGUUUCCUGUACGUGCCCUGCCAGUCAGCGGGCCGGGCUGUCGCCGUCAGACUGUGUGUCUACACCAGACUCCUGGAGACAACAGCAUGCUUAUGUCACAAGCCACAUCUGUCAUGGCAGGAUCUGUGUUUCUCCUCAGGUUAAUAAUAUCUGAUGCAGGCACCAGGGCUCCUUCCCUUAAAAGCAAGGACACCAGCUUAGGAAGAGGUGCUUCAAAGAUCAAAACCGGGUCUGUGACAGUGACGGGUGGGUGUGUGAAUUGGCAAUGGCAGUGUCAAAUCUCUCCUGAAGCGAGGAAAAGGCCCUUGGCUGGCAGAAACGGAGCCUGGGGUAUUGCUGGCUCCAGUGAGGGAGACACAUUUUGCAAAGUAGCCAUGUUCAUGGGCGCUGUUUCAUGCAGUCUUGUACAGAAUGCUAGAAAAAUAACCAAGGAAGGAACCGGCAACACGUGAGAUCUAUACGUUAGGAGAUGAGAGCAGAGAAGCAUUGCCUCUUCCCAGCUCUCACUUUGAGGAGAGAUUGUUUUGCUCUGGAUGGGCUGGGUGGUUUUAAUUCCUAAUAGGGAUCACAAGUAAGCAGGAGCUAAAGACUGAGAUUCAGACUUGGUAAGAUGAUGAUGAUGAUGAUGAUGAUGAUGAUGAUGAUGAUGAUAACUAUGUUCAUUUAGAGACCUUAUUGUUUAGAGGCUCAAAUAAUAAUAAUAAAAUAAUAACAUAUUA
This is a long non-coding RNA of Hyaena hyaena (striped hyena), 1114 nucleotides long. RefSeq lists it as uncharacterized. Lineage: Eukaryota; Metazoa; Chordata; Mammalia; Carnivora; Hyaenidae. The record is from RefSeq and is a predicted model, not a curated record. The transcript is spliced from 2 exons.